UAGCGUAUAUUAAAGUUGUUGCAGUUAGAACGCUCGUAGUCGGAUUUCGGGGCGGGCCGUUCGGUCUGCCGAUGGGUACGCACUGGUCGGCGCGUCCUUCCUUCCGGAGACCGUCCCUACUCUUAACUGAGCGGGGGCGGGAGACGGAACGUUUACUUUGAAAAAAUCAGAGUGUUUCAAGCAGGCAGCUCGCUCUUGCAUGGAUUAGCAUGGGAUAAUGAAAUAGGACUUUGGUGCUAUUUUGUUGGUUUCGAACACCGAAGUAAUGAUGAGAAGGGACAGUCAGGGGCACUCGUAUUCCGCCGAGAGAGGUGAAAUUCUCAGACCAGCGGAAGACGAACCACUGCGAAAGCAUUUG
Molecule: ribosomal RNA, 358 nt
Filed under: Haptophyta environmental samples
Lineage: Eukaryota; Haptophyta
Description: SSU rRNA
Rfam family: Eukaryotic small subunit ribosomal RNA
Source: RNAcentral